Molecule: ribosomal RNA, 1016 nt
Filed under: uncultured bacterium
Lineage: Bacteria
Description: bacterial SSU rRNA
Rfam family: Bacterial small subunit ribosomal RNA
Source: RNAcentral
AGGAAUAUUGGUCAAUGGACGAGAGUCUGAACCAGCCAAGUAGCGUGAAGGAUGAAGGUUCUAUGGAUUGUAAACUUCUUUUAUACGGGAAUAAACGAAUCCACGCGUGGAUUUUUGCAUGUACCGUAUGAAUAAGGAUCGGCUAACUCCGUGCCAGCAGCCGCGGUAAUACGGAGGAUCCGAGCGUUAUCCGGAUUUAUUGGGUUUAAAGGGAGCGUAGAUGGAUGUUUAAGUCAGUUGUGAAAGUUUGCGGCUCAACCGUAAAAUUGCAGUUGAUACUGGAUAUCUUGAGUGCAGUUGAGGCAGGCGGAAUUCGUGGUGUAGCGGUGAAAUGCUUAGAUAUCACGAAGAACUCCGAUUGCGAAGGCAGCCUGCUAAGCUGCAACUGACAUUGAGGCUCGAAAGUGUGGGUAUCAAACAGGAUUAGAUACCCUGGUAGUCCACACGGUAAACGAUGAAUACUCGCUGUUUGCGAUAUACGGCAAGCGGCCAAGCGAAAGCGUUAAGUAUUCCACCUGGGGAGUACGCCGGCAACGGUGAAACUCAAAGGAAUUGACGGGGGCCCGCACAAGCGGAGGAACAUGUGGUUUAAUUCGAUGAUACGCGAGGAACCUUACCCGGGCUUAAAUUGCAGAUGAAUUACGGUGAAAGCCGUAAGCCGCAAGGCAUCUGUGAAGGUGCUGCAUGGUUGUCGUCAGCUCGUGCCGUGAGGUGUCGGCUUAAGUGCCAUAACGAGCGCAACCCUUGUUGUCAGUUACUAACAGGUUCCGCUGAGGACUCUGACAAGACUGCCAUCGUAAGAUGUGAGGAAGGUGGGGAUGACGUCAAAUCAGCACGGCCCUUACGUCCGGGGCUACACACGUGUUACAAUGGGGGGUACAGAGGGCCGCUACCACGCGAGUGGAUGCCAAUCCCAAAAACCUCUCUCAGUUCGGACUGGAGUCUGCAACCCGACUCCACGAAGCUGGAUUCGCUAGUAAUCGCGCAUCAGCCACGGCGCGGUGAAUACGUUCCCG